Olea europaea var. sylvestris is the source of this 1112-nucleotide long non-coding RNA. RefSeq lists it as uncharacterized. The record is from RefSeq and is a predicted model, not a curated record. The transcript is spliced from 2 exons. NCBI's taxonomy places the organism in Eukaryota, Viridiplantae, Streptophyta, Magnoliopsida, Lamiales, Oleaceae.
UUUUUUUUUUGUUAAAUGUAAAUAUGUUGGCUGCAUUGUUUACAUCUUAUGCUAUCACUAUCUUUUGAUCUUCUAUUGUCAAUAUUAUAGCGAUGUGGAUCUUCUUGUUCGGUAUUCCUAUAAUUUUGUCUUGUAUCAUGUUGCUUGUACGUACUCAUCCUUUUAAAAGUCAACAUUUGUUUCCUUCUUUAGUAUCUUAGACUUUUACAAGGUUAAACAGCUUAAGAUCUGGAGCCACGUUGUAUUUUCUUUGUCUCAAUAUCAUGUAGCUUGUUCUUCGUCAUCUCUAUUGCUUGUAAAAGAUGGCACUUAGUUCUUUCAUUAAAGUCUUUGACCUUUUAGGGGUUAAGCAGCUUAACAGCUACAUUGCAAUGUCCGUAUACAAUCUGUUAAUGGUAAUUCAAAUCAAAUUAUAAUUUUCUACACUCCUUGUUUUCUUUUUCAUUUCUUUCUCGUUCCUAUGCUAAGAUGUUCUCGUAAAUUGUAAUACAACUUGUAAUGUUUAUAGUACAGAUUGUAUAUCUAACAAUAUCUAUUUCGUCUGCUGUCAGGAACUUUAUGCAAAGUUGAAUAGGAUGGCUGCGAUGGCAGCAGAUAUGUUUGUAAGCCGAGAAAGAUUUGCAAUGUUGUUAUUGAUGAGGCUCACAGAGACGGUUAUCUUAUGGCUUUCAGAAGACCAGACGUUUUAGGAUGAUAUUGAGGAAGGACCAAGGCCUUUAGGCCCUCUAGGUCUUCAACAGUUCUACUUGGAUAUGAAAUUUGUGAUAUGCUUUGCUUCGCAAGGACGCUACUUGUCUAGAAAUUUGCGUUGGGCUGUCAACGAUAUUAUUUCCAAAGCACUGGCCGCAUUUUCUGCAACGGGCAUGGAUCCGUAUAGGUACUAUCUAUACUGUAACCUUGGUAUGAUUGUUGUGCAUUUCUUUUUGAAUGAUUCACUAGUCCCAAGUGGAAGUGUAUAAGAAGUAUAGUCAUUGUGGAACCAGGAUGAAGAGAAAAUCCUUUAUGAGAUAUCUCGAUAAAGGAAAAGAGAAGUAGAGGUCAUAAUCCUUUAAAGUGUCAAAUGACAACAUUCAAAGAGUUACAAUUUCAAAGUAAUGAGAUCAGAAAAUGUU